CCUACGGGGGGCUGCAGUGGGGAAUUUUGGACAAUGGGGGCAACCCUGAUCCAGCAAUGCCGCGUGCAGGAAGAAGGCCUUCGGGUUGUAAACUGCUUUUGUACGGAACGAAACGGCUCUGGUUAAUACCCGGGGCUAAUGACGGUACCGUAAGAAUAAGCACCGGCUAACUACGUGCCAGCAGCCGCGGUAAUACGUAGGGUGCGAGCGUUAAUCGGAAUUACUGGGCGUAAAGCGUGCGCAGGCGGUGCUGUAAGACAGGCGUGAAAUCCCCG
RNAcentral lists this ribosomal RNA (275 nucleotides) under uncultured Hydrogenophaga sp. RNAcentral describes it as "partial 16S ribosomal RNA". It matches the Rfam family "Bacterial small subunit ribosomal RNA", at positions 338 to 605 of the family's 1533-position model. The record is from RNAcentral. Lineage: Bacteria; Pseudomonadati; Pseudomonadota; Betaproteobacteria; Burkholderiales; Comamonadaceae.